AUGAAGACCCAGACAGUAUGGUUCUGAGGCGACCUGCUGUUGGCAGAAUCAUACUGUGCAACGGGAUGCUUAUGAGCAAUGAGCUGGUCUACUCCUUUUCACAAGUUCUGAUGCUUAGUUAAUGCGUGUUGAGUAAACAAGUGGGUGACUAGUAUGAAUGACAAGGAUCGACUUUUGGAUUGGAUGCGCAAAUUUUGGCUUGCUUAAAUCUUUCCUACUUUAAUUGUACCCAAUUGUUUUAAAGCCAAAAGAAGUAAAGAUUUCUUGUGUUUGGUAAGAAUAACUGCAAUGUGUAACUUCCAGUUUAUUUUUUUCCAUUUAUAUUUCAUUCUACGUGACACUCAAAAUAGCUUACCUGAACUUAAAUGGAUUAUUUGCCCAAUGUUUGGCAGAGGUGAGAGACUAAAAUGCAAAUUAAAUAGCACUCAGUUCUAUGUACCAAUCAGUAUGCCAUUCAAGCAUUGUCUUACACUUUAUGUAUUCCCCAUGCCUGUGUAAGUUAGCCACUUAAACAUUUGUAAGAUUGCUUGAUGACUCAUAAACCAUCCAGGAUUUCACAGUGAAUAGCUGAGAUUAAAAUGAUUUCUUUGCACAUGAGCAAACUUGUUGGUACUAGAUGCAGCCAAUGUUCUAGAAAAUAAAACUUCAGCUACGACAAGCUGAAAAACUGUUUCCUAAUAUUUUGUGUAUGUGUCAUAGAGUGUGCCUCCAAUGAGAGCUAUUUUUAAAUUUCUGAGUUCAAAUGAAGUAUUAGAAUGUUUGUUUCCAUGUAAAUAAGGAACAUCUCCUCCAGCUAGCAUGCGCAAUAAAACCCUUCUUUAGUUUGUCUUGAUAGCCGUCUCCCACAGCCUUGUUCUUACACAUCAUUGUGCCAUGUUUUCCCUGCCUUGAUAUAUCUUUCCUCCUCUGAAUCUGUUUCUGAAACUCUUCUACAUUCUUAGUUUUCUUUAUGUGUCCUCUAUUUUCCCGCUCUCAAAAUCUCUGCCCUCUCAGUUUGCUUGUCACAGUGGUUCUAGCAACUUGACAAUAGGUUGAAUAUUUGAAUGAUUUCUUCUGAUGACAUAAGGCUGCAGCAACACUAGUGAGUACAACAGCCUAGCUCAACCACACAUGCCCCCAGCACAGCUUUUGAGUGCACCAGUGGGCCACUAGCAAUGCUAUUCAUCCCAGCCCAGGUCCCCCAGGCGGGCCAGGCGUGUUGGCCUGAUCCAAACAUGCCCUCUGGUUUACUCACUCUAGAUAAUUCCAUCCAAAGUCUGCCCCCCCAACCUUCAAAUGCAGUGGCAUGGUCCGUGGAAUACUCUAGAAAUGAUCCCUCCUCUGUCACACGUAUGCUUAGCUGCUCCUACUGCAAUAGGUCCUCAGUCUCCGUUCCCUGGGCAAGUUGCAGCACCUCCAGAUGGGGUACUAUCUUCCCCACAUACCUUCAAAGAAAAAAAUAGAAUAGGCAACGAUGCUGUUAAUACAGAUUUGGUAUUAACCAGUCCCACAGUGCCUGUUGUCGUUUAUCCCAGAGGUGUAACACUUGUCUAGACACAAAUUAACCUAGGCGGUUGUGUGCAGCUGGGAAAUAAUGAGUUUCUUAGAGCAUGACUUGUGGCCCUCUGCAAUUGUGUUAUUAGUAAUAGGAGAUGAUUUCCUGCCUAUUGUAUUUUGGGAACAGGAUCACCUGUAUUCUAGCUCCACCACGAGAAAAACAUAUUUGUGUGGGGGCACAAAAGUGUCCCUGAUCACAGGAAAACCCCAAAACACAGAAGGCAUAUCAACAUUAGAAUGUUUUACUUUUUAAACAUUCAGGUAAAUUGCAACUGAUCUAAAUGAUCAAACUGUGGAAUUGAGUGAAAGCUGUCUUGGUAAGACAUGUUCCCUGUAUUUCUCACCAUUUAAGCAUGUUGUAAAAAUAAGUUUAGGGUACCAAAGAAAGUUUAGAAUGAAGCUAAGUUAAAUUUAAACUAUUAUGAUACCAAACAAGCUAAAAGGAAAUCUUUCAGUGCAAAACUUAUGAGCUGUCUCUUUCUUAUCAAGUUGUGUUAAAUUCAGUGUACAAAAUCUGUCAGAGUGAACCAUGAGCAUAAAUGUAACAAUUACAUACAAAGGUACAUCCUCAGAAUACAACCAAACUUUUAUUGAAAUGAAUAUGCUCAUAUCAUAAAAAAUCAAAAUAACAAACAUGAACAAGGUUUGCAUUAUAAGCCAACAAAUUAAAAUUAGCAAAGUGCCUCCUAGGAGCCAAUCAGAAACUGAAACUCCAUGUGAAAAAUGGUUUUGGAGAAUAUAUUUCUAUAUACUACACCUUAAAAACAUGGGCUUUAAAUGCAGUUUAUGAAUUCAUAAGUGAAAAAUUGGGAGUCAGAUUAACAGUAAUUUAGUGUAAAGACAGACUUAAAUUGAAGUUUAGGAAAAAAACUGACCCACAUAAACAUCAGCAUCUAAAACAUAAAAGUGGAUUCUGUUAAAAUCAAGCUGAAAUAACUUUUAUGUUGACAAGAAUAACUAUUUAUAAAGAACGUAAGUGAUAAAUGUGAAGACACUUCAAACACUCAUGGGAAAAUGCAACUAACAUUUUAUUUUGAUGCCUCAAAUCUUGAAAUUCAUGUGCGUUUUUUAUAACUUUGCGUUCCCCAUGAACUCUUUGAAGACCCAUUCAUAUGUAAGAACUCAGCAUAAAUAUAAUGCAUUCUGUAGUAAUUAAAGUGAAAGCAUUUGCACCGGGUGCUUACUUCACUGCAUGUUUAAAUCUCAGGGGUUUGGGGAUUUAUGGACUAUCAUUUAUACAGUGUUGGCCUAAUGACUAU
Molecule: long non-coding RNA, 2795 nt
Organism: Ochotona curzoniae (black-lipped pika)
Lineage: Eukaryota; Metazoa; Chordata; Mammalia; Lagomorpha; Ochotonidae
Exons: 2
Source: RefSeq, a predicted model, not a curated record